This 253-nucleotide ribosomal RNA is filed under the name uncultured bacterium. Its description in RNAcentral is "partial 16S ribosomal RNA". It matches the Rfam family "Bacterial small subunit ribosomal RNA", at positions 524 to 776 of the family's 1533-position model. The record is from RNAcentral.
UAUAGAGGUCCCAAGCGUUGUUCGGAUUCACUGGGCGUAAAGGGUGCGUAGGUGGUAAGGUAAGUCGGAUGUGAAAUCUCCAGGCUCAACCUGGAAAUGGCAUCGGAAACUACCUUGCUCGAGGUUUGGAGGGGGGACUGGAAUACUUGGUGUAGCAGUGAAAUGCGUAGAUAUCAAGUGGAACACCAGUGGCGAAGGCGAGUCCCUGGACAACACCUGACACUGAGGCACGAAAGCUAGGGGAGCAAACAGG